AGCAAUCAGGAGCCCACCUGGAGAACAAGAGAAUACAACUCAAGUUUCAAGUAGUCAGGAGCCCACCUGGAAAACAAGGGAAUACAAUUCAAAUUUCAAGUAGUCAGGAGCCCGCCUGGAGAACGAAGGGAAGAAGCAAUUCAAAUUUCAAAUAAUCAGGAGCCCGCCUGGAGAACAGAGGAAAGGAAACAAUAGUCAAAGGAAGACAUUUAAAGGGGUUCAGCAGUCAGGUGCCCGCCUGGAGAAGAAGGGAAAGCAUUUCAAAGAAUACCAUUCAAGUCA
This 282-nucleotide long non-coding RNA is filed under the name Nicotiana tabacum (common tobacco). RNAcentral describes it as "long non-coding RNA (NTAB_LNC017118)". The record is from RNAcentral. Lineage: Eukaryota; Viridiplantae; Streptophyta; Magnoliopsida; Solanales; Solanaceae.